This 292-nucleotide ribosomal RNA is filed under the name uncultured bacterium. RNAcentral's name for it is "partial 16S ribosomal RNA". It matches the Rfam family "Bacterial small subunit ribosomal RNA", at positions 505 to 796 of the family's 1533-position model. The record is from RNAcentral.
GUUCAAGCCGCCGCGGUAAGACGAACCGUGCGAACGUUGUUCGGAUUCACUGGGCUUAAAGGGCGCGUAGGCGGGCACGCCAGUCGGGAGUGAAAUCCCCCGGCUCAACCGGGGAACAGCUCCCGAUACUGCGUGCCUCGAGGGGGGUAGGGGUCGACGGAACUUCCGGUGGAGCGGUGAAAUGCGUAGAUAUCGGAAGGAACGCCGGUGGCGAAAGCGGUCGACUGGACCCCUUCUGACGCUGAGGCGCGAAAGCCAGGGGAGCAAACGGGAUUAGAUACCCUUGUAGUCC